GCCAAACAAAGCACGAGCAAGGCUGUUAUUUUCCAUGUAUUCGUAUACUAGCAUUAGUUAAUCUCCUUCUAUACAACAACCAUGAAGUUUCACAAGAUUUGGAUGUCGCAAACAUGCAAUCAUUCCUAUCUCAUUCAAGAACUCUCGAUUUCCCUGACUCGAUUUAGUUGACAGCUGCUUGACAGCAAUCACAGUACCAUCGGCUAACAAACCCUUGUAAACAGGUCCAAAUCCACCUUCUCCAAUU
Molecule: unclassified non-coding RNA, 247 nt
Filed under: Hevea brasiliensis (rubber tree)
Lineage: Eukaryota; Viridiplantae; Streptophyta; Magnoliopsida; Malpighiales; Euphorbiaceae
Source: RNAcentral